AGACCGAUAGCAAACAAGUACCGUGAGGGAAGAUUGAAAAGAACUUUGAAGAGAGAGUUCAAUAGUACGUGAAACUGUGUGGUGGUAAACGGAGGGGUUCUCGAAGUCUCUGCGGGGAACUCAACCUUGGUGUCCGGCAGUCAGGGUGCGUCCGAUCAGCAAUGACGGUGCUCCCUGUCCGGCCAGGCUCUCGGGUGCAUUUCCCCCGCAGUUUACGGCAGGAACCGUUUGGCGCGGACCGAAGGCCUCGGGUGAAGUUGUCGGUUCUGCUGGCAGCCCUGUGUGUCCUGGCUCCGCGCUCGACGGGUACGUGAGAGGACUCGUAUAGCGAGCAACGCUCUGUUGCGGUUCUCAUCUCUCUGCCGAGUAGGUCGGCGGCCCCUCCGACCCGUCUUGAAACACGGAC
RNAcentral lists this ribosomal RNA (406 nucleotides) under Gaetanus minor. RNAcentral describes it as "eukaryotic LSU rRNA". It matches the Rfam family "Eukaryotic large subunit ribosomal RNA", at positions 331 to 666 of the family's 3401-position model. Lineage: Eukaryota; Metazoa; Arthropoda; Copepoda; Calanoida; Aetideidae. The record is from RNAcentral.